Molecule: ribosomal RNA, 497 nt
Filed under: uncultured bacterium
Lineage: Bacteria
Description: partial 16S ribosomal RNA
Rfam family: Bacterial small subunit ribosomal RNA
Source: RNAcentral
GAUGAACGCUGGCGGCGUGCCUAAUACAUGCAAGUCGAGCGAACAGACGAGGAGCUUGCUCCUCUGACGUUAGCGGCGGACGGGUGAGUAACACGUGGAUAACCUACCUAUAAGACUGGGAUAACUUCGGGAAACCGGAGCUAAUACCGGAUAAUAUAUUGAACCGCAUGGUUCAAUAGUGAAAGACGGUUUUGCUGUCACUUAUAGAUGGAUCCGCGCCGCAUUAGCUAGUUGGUAAGGUAACGGCUUACCAAGGCAACGAUGCGUAGCCGACCUGAGAGGGUGAUCGGCAACACUGGAACUGAGACACGGGCCAGACUCCUAAGAGAGGCAGCAUGAGGGAAGCUUACGCAAUGGGCGAAAGCCUGACGGAGCAACGAAGCGUGAGUGAUGAAGGUCUGCGGAUCGUAAAACUCUGGUAAUAGGGAAGAACAAAUGUGGAAGUAACUAUGCAAGUAUUGACGGUACCUAAUCAGAAAGCAACGGCUAAAUACGUG